Molecule: long non-coding RNA, 414 nt
Organism: Balaenoptera ricei (Rice's whale)
Lineage: Eukaryota; Metazoa; Chordata; Mammalia; Artiodactyla; Balaenopteridae
Exons: 4
Source: RefSeq, a predicted model, not a curated record
UCCUUGCCUCAACAAUUCGUCUCUUGAUUUAUUGGCCUGCCGUGUGGUGAGAAGGAUGAGCUUGGACUCGGUAACCUUGCCUUAAUCCAGAUCUGGAGCAGAUGGGAGAGGACUGGAUCAAGGAUCUGAAACCGCACCUCAGAUGGGACUAGAACCCAGUCUUCCAACUGAAACCACACAACUCAUCUCAGGACUUAAUGAAACUCAGGUUCUUCAUGUCUCGGUGCAGAAGGAAUUCAGUGAGGGAAAAGUAAUAGAAGUGAUAGAUCCACUUUAAGAGGCUUUGGAUCUGUGCCAUUUAUCCUUGGACAUGUGGAAACCUGUAGUUAGAGGAGGCAAGAAAUUCUUCUGGACAGCUCAGAGAGGGCUUCCGAGAAGAAGGACAUUUUGAGCAUUUUUCACCAGAUGGACAAA